AUGAAGAAAUUCUUUCAGGAGUUCAAGGCCAAUAUCAAGUUCAAGAGCGUGGGACCCAGUCAGAAGCUCACAGACUCUCUAGGGGAAAAGGCCCUCAAAGAGAAGCCCACCUAACCAGCUCCCCGGCAGCCCAGCCAGGGACCCACAAUGAGGCACAGACGGCGGCUGCUGCCGCCCUGGUUCAGCUGGAGCAUUAGCAAUCCUGGCCCUGGGGCCCCACGUCUCAGGACACCAUCCGAAACCAGGUGAGAAAGGAACUUCAAGCCGAAGCCACAGUCAGCAGGAGCCCCGAGGCCCCAGGGACCAACAUAGUAUCUCAGCCCAGAGAGGAAGUCUCCGCCCACCUGGCUGUGCCUGGCAUCUAUUUCACCUGUCCGCUCACCUGGGCCACCCUGAGGAAGGACCAGCCGGACGCCUGCAUCAAGGACGCUAUUCUCUCAUGCUUUUCCACCGACCCAGUGGCGGCCUCCCAUCGUGAAGAUCCACACGUUCGACAAAGCCCGGGACCGGGUGAAGCUGGGCGUGGACGCCAUCGCCAAGUACCUGGACAACAUCCACCUGCACCCCGAGGAGGAGAAGUUCCGGAAGAUCAAGCUGCAGAACAAAGUGUCCCAGGAGCGCAUUAACUGCCUGGAAGGGACCCACGAGUUUUUUGAGGCCAUUGUUUUCCAGAAGGUGAUGCUUCCCGUCCCACGUCAGGGGAACCCAGAGGAGUUCUACGUGCUGAGCGAGGCCACCCUGGCCCAGCCCCGGAGCCUGGAGAGGCACGAGGAGCAGCUGCAGACCUCGGAGCCCGUGCCCGCCAAGCUGGACCGGCAGCGCUGUCUUCCAGCCCUCGCCCCCGGCCUCGCAGUUCGACUUGCCUGGGGAUUUAUUCAACCUCUCGGCCGAGGAGAUCAAGCGGGAGCAGAGGCUUGGGUCCGAUGCGGUGCAGCGGCUGAGUGUGCUGCGGACCGAGGCCAAGCGGUAGAAGGAGGAGCAGCGGGGGCUAGGAAGGGUGCGCCUCCCCGACGGCUGCCUCCUGCGGGGGACCGUCUGUGCCUGGGAACCGCUGGAGGCCGAGUGCGGUUCGUCCUGGAGGCCCUGCAGAACUACUGGCUGCCUUUUGAGCUGCUGGCCUUGGGACGGCAGAAGCUGUCAGAGAACGAAAACCUGGCCUUGAAUGAGUGCGGGCUGGUGCCCUCUGCCCUGCUGACCUCGUGGGACGUGGCCGUGCUGGAGGACAUCAAGCCGGACUCCAUCCUGAAACCCCAGCUCCUGUCAGCCAUCGAGAAGCUCUCGUGA
RNA transcript from Cebus imitator (Panamanian white-faced capuchin), 1284 nucleotides. It is a transcript of the gene named UBX domain-containing protein 6-like, with no coding region annotated. The record is from RefSeq and is a predicted model, not a curated record. The transcript has a single exon. Lineage: Eukaryota; Metazoa; Chordata; Mammalia; Primates; Cebidae.